RNAcentral lists this ribosomal RNA (253 nucleotides) under uncultured bacterium. Its description in RNAcentral is "partial 16S ribosomal RNA". It matches the Rfam family "Bacterial small subunit ribosomal RNA", at positions 524 to 776 of the family's 1533-position model. The record is from RNAcentral.
UACGUAGGGGGCAAGCGUUGUCCGGAUUUAUUGGGCGUAAAGAGCGCGUAGGCGGUCCGGUAAGUCCGCUCUGAAAGCCCGGGGCUCAACCCCGGGAGGCGGGCGGAUACUGUCGGGCUAGAGUCCGGAAGAGGAGUGUGGAAUUCCUGGUGUAGCGGUGAAAUGCGCAGAUAUCAGGAGGAACACCAAUGGCGAAGGCAGCACUCUGGGACGGUACUGACGCUGAGACGCGAAAGUGUGGGGAGCAAACAGG